Molecule: transfer RNA, 68 nt
Filed under: Cyclopsetta fimbriata (spotfin flounder)
Lineage: Eukaryota; Metazoa; Chordata; Actinopteri; Pleuronectiformes; Cyclopsettidae
Description: tRNA-Arg
Rfam family: tRNA
About the family: Transfer RNA (tRNA) molecules are approximately 80 nucleotides in length.
Source: RNAcentral
AGGAGGUUAGUUUAAGAAAACAUUUGAUUUCGACUCAAAAGCUUGUGGUUAAACACCACAACCACCUG